RNAcentral lists this ribosomal RNA (41 nucleotides) under uncultured Aspergillus. Its description in RNAcentral is "partial 5.8S ribosomal RNA". Lineage: Eukaryota; Fungi; Ascomycota; Eurotiomycetes; Eurotiales; Aspergillaceae. The record is from RNAcentral.
AAACUUUCAACAACGGAUCUCUUGGUUCCGGCAUCGAUGAA